Molecule: ribosomal RNA, 427 nt
Filed under: uncultured bacterium
Lineage: Bacteria
Description: partial 16S ribosomal RNA
Rfam family: Bacterial small subunit ribosomal RNA
Source: RNAcentral
UGGGGAAUAUUGCACAAUGGGCGCAAGCCUGAUGCAGCCAUGCCGCGUGUGUGAAGAAGGCCUUCGGGUUGUAACGCACUUUCAGCGAGGAGGAAGGGUGGUGUGUUAAUAGCACAUUGCAUUGACGUUACUCGCAGAAGAAGCACCGGCUAACUCCGUGCCAGCAGCCGCGGUAAUACGGAGGGUGCAAGCGUUAAUCGGCAUUACUGGGCGUAAAGCGCACGCAGGCGGUUUGUUAAGUCAGAUGUGAAAUCCCCGCGCUUAACGUGGGAACUGCAUUUGAAACUGGCAAGCUAGAGUCUUGUAGAGGGGGGUAGAAUUCCAGGUGUAGCGGUGAAAUGCGUAGAGAUCUGGAGGAAUACCGGUGGCGAAGGCGGCCCCCUGGACAAAGACUGACGCUCAGGUGCGAAAGCGUGGGGAGCAAACA